Molecule: long non-coding RNA, 492 nt
Filed under: Ananas comosus (pineapple)
Lineage: Eukaryota; Viridiplantae; Streptophyta; Magnoliopsida; Poales; Bromeliaceae
Description: long non-coding RNA (ACOM_LNC019410)
Source: RNAcentral
CUGUGAUGACCUUUCCUGUGAUGGCAAAAGGUUGCCACCUGCUAUAAUGACCGUUCCCUUGAAUGUCGGAUUCUUUCCAAUAAUUAGAAGGCGUGCUUCUCUUCCUAACUAAUAACGAGCAAACUUCGGAUGGCCUGUCUACAGGCAACCAGUUGCUCGCAUUGAUUCUGUGAUGUAUAUUUUGGGCUCGCAUUGAUUAGAGGGCUUCAGAGUAAAUCUAAUGAUGCUCAAUUCAUAGGAAAGUCUGAGCAAAAUAUAUUUUUGUCUUGACACUUUGGUAGAUGAUACGAAUAAUACUAAUUAAUUGGUAGAUGCUAUCCCAAACAUGCUAUUUAUUUGACUAUUGUGAUAUUUUCGAAUUUAUGCAUUUACAUAUUCCUCAGUUUCCAUGUUACUUAUUUCUCAACUCGUCCCUUUAGUUCUAUUGCUAUUCCUUACAAUCUCUAAAUGUAAGACGGUGAUGAUAAGAGCCACUCUCCUAUGAGGUCUCCU